Molecule: ribosomal RNA, 394 nt
Filed under: uncultured bacterium
Lineage: Bacteria
Description: partial 16S ribosomal RNA
Rfam family: Bacterial small subunit ribosomal RNA
Source: RNAcentral
CCUACGGGGGGCAGCAGUGAGGAAUAUUGGUCAAUGGGCGCGAGCCUGAACCAGCCAAGUCGCGUGAGGGAUGAAGGUUCUAUGGAUUGUAAACUUCUUUUAUAAGGGAAUAAAGUGUGGGAUGUGUACUAUUUUGUAUGUACCUUAUGAAUAAGGAUCGGCUAACUCCGUGCCAGCAGCCGCGGUAAUACGGAGGAUCCGAGCGUUAUCCGGAUUUAUUGGGUUUAAAGGGUGCGUAGGCGGCGUUUUAAGUCAGUGGUGAAAGUUUGGGGCUCAACCGUAGAAUUGCCGUUGAUACUGGCAGCCUUGAGUGUAUUAGAGGCAGGCGGAAUGCGUGGUGUAGCGGUGAAAUGCUUAGAUAUCACGCAGAACUCCGAUUGCGAAGGCAGCCUGC